GGGCGCAUAGCUCAAUCGGCAGAGCAUCCGUUUUACACGCGGGGGGUUUCAGGUUCAAGUCCUGAUGUGCCCA
RNAcentral lists this transfer RNA (73 nucleotides) under Anaerolineae bacterium. Its description in RNAcentral is "tRNA-Val". It matches the Rfam family "tRNA". Rfam says of the family: Transfer RNA (tRNA) molecules are approximately 80 nucleotides in length. Their secondary structure includes four short double-helical elements and three loops (D, anti-codon, and T loops). Further hydrogen bonds mediate the characteristic L-shaped molecular structure. tRNAs have two regions of fundamental functional importance: the anti-codon, which is responsible for specific mRNA codon recognition, and the 3' end, to which the tRNAs corresponding amino acid is attached (by aminoacyl-tRNA synthetases). tRNAs cope with the degeneracy of the genetic code in two manners: having more than one tRNA (with a specific anti-codon) for a particular amino acid; and 'wobble' base-pairing, i.e. permitting non-standard base-pairing at the 3rd anti-codon position. Lineage: Bacteria; Bacillati; Chloroflexota; Anaerolineae. RNAcentral also lists the same sequence under 1 other name. The record is from RNAcentral.